AAAUUGAAGAGUUUGAUCAUGGCUCAGAUUGAACGCUGGCGGCAGGCCUAACACAUGCAAGUCGAACGGUAACAGGAAUCAGCUUGCUGAUUUGCUGACGAGUGGCGGACGGGUGAGUAAUGUCUGGGAAACUGCCUGA
Molecule: ribosomal RNA, 139 nt
Filed under: Escherichia coli
Lineage: Bacteria; Pseudomonadati; Pseudomonadota; Gammaproteobacteria; Enterobacterales; Enterobacteriaceae
Description: partial 16S ribosomal RNA
Rfam family: Bacterial small subunit ribosomal RNA
Source: RNAcentral